This 253-nucleotide ribosomal RNA is filed under the name uncultured bacterium. Its description in RNAcentral is "partial 16S ribosomal RNA". It matches the Rfam family "Bacterial small subunit ribosomal RNA", at positions 524 to 776 of the family's 1533-position model. The record is from RNAcentral.
UACGUAGGAGACGAGCGUUGUUCGGAAUUACUGGGCGUAAAGCGCACGUAGGCGGCUUUGUAAGUUAGAGGUGAAAGCCCGGGGCUCAACCCCGGAAUUGCCUUUAAGACUGCAUCGCUUGAAUCCGGGAGAGGUGAGUGGAAUUCCGAGUGUAGAGGUGAAAUUCGUAGAUAUUCGGAAGAACACCAGUGGCGAAGGCGGCUCACUGGACCGGUAUUGACGCUGAGGUGCGAAAGCGUGGGGAGCAAACAGG